This 497-nucleotide ribosomal RNA is filed under the name uncultured bacterium. Its description in RNAcentral is "partial 16S ribosomal RNA". It matches the Rfam family "Bacterial small subunit ribosomal RNA", at positions 28 to 507 of the family's 1533-position model. The record is from RNAcentral.
GAUGAACGCUGGCGGCGUGCCUAAUACAUGCAAGUCGAGCGAACAGACGAGGAGCUUGCUCCUCUGAUGUUAGCGGCGGACGGGUGAGUAACACGUGGAUAACCUACCUAUAAGACUGGGAUAACUUCGGGAAACCGGAGCUAAUACCGGAUAAUAUAUUGAACCGCAUGGUUCAAUAGUGAAAGACGGUUUUGCUGUCACUUAUAGAUGGAUCCGCGCCGCAUUAGCUAGUUGGUAAGGUAACGGCUUACCAAGGCGACGAUGCAUAGCCGACCUGAGAGGGUGAUCGGCCACACUGGAACUGAGACACGGUCCAGACUCCUACGGGAGGCAGCAGUAGGGAAUCUUCCGCAAUGGGCGAAAGCCUGACGGAGCAACGCCGCGUGAGUGAUGAAGGUCUUCGGAUCGUAAAACUCUGUUAUUAGGGAAGAACAAAUGUGUAAGUAACUAUGCACGUCUUGACGGUACCUAAUCAGAAAGCCACGGCUAACUACGUG